RNAcentral lists this unclassified non-coding RNA (274 nucleotides) under Hevea brasiliensis (rubber tree). The record is from RNAcentral. Lineage: Eukaryota; Viridiplantae; Streptophyta; Magnoliopsida; Malpighiales; Euphorbiaceae.
GAAUAAUCUGAGGAGAAGGAUCGGAAUUCGAUCGGAGGCAAGUCGGGAUGAUGGAGGAAUCGUAGUCGUAAUCGUCAUCUGAGAGGAAAGUUGAGAGAAUGUCAAAUGAGAUCUUACGUCCAGUUGAUCUCAACGCCAUUGAUGAAGAUUGAAGCUAUGCCGAUGUUGCCGGUUCAUGGAGGUUGCUGAUCGGCGGUUACGCACGACUGUGAAAGGGAGUCGGAGGAGAGGGGAGAAGGUGGUGGUGCUGAAGAUUUGGGGAUCUCUAGACGAG